RNAcentral lists this long non-coding RNA (547 nucleotides) under Trifolium pratense (red clover). Its description in RNAcentral is "long non-coding RNA (TPRA_LNC000314)". Lineage: Eukaryota; Viridiplantae; Streptophyta; Magnoliopsida; Fabales; Fabaceae. The record is from RNAcentral.
UUGAGUGUUCUUAAAAUUAUCAGUUGUUAACUUAUCUCAAUAUAUGCAUACGAAUUUAACAUAUUAAUAGAUACCUCUGAAAACAUGUUUCGUGUUUUGUGUAUUUUGUAUCAUGAACUUUUGUGUAUUUUGUAUCACACUUGAUGAUUGAGUGUAUUUUUCUUAUCCUUUUUUAAAUGUACAUGAGGAGUUGAUUUAUGUGAAAUUGUUUUUUACCUGUUCACUGCAGGCAUUAGCCAGACUCCCUCAAUGCUUUGUUCGCAAUUUCGGGGUCUUAAUUGAUACAUAUGUGAUUCUUCGAGAUCCUAAUCCUAAUGAGUUCGAGCAUGUUAUGAAAAAAUCUAAUGACAUGUACUUUGAUCAAGGAUGGUUGGUUCUUAGAAAUGUUUACGACAUAUGGUUUGGUGUUUGGCUUAGUUUUACUUAUGUUAAUCCUAAGCUUUUAAAUAUAACAUAAGAUGUUUAUAAUCUUUACCUCGUAUUUAUAUAAUGUGAUCCUAUUCCAUCUUCAAUAGAUUUUGUAUCUUUCUAAUAUAGAUUUCUAUAA